RNAcentral lists this ribosomal RNA (405 nucleotides) under bacterium sC4-4-C32. RNAcentral describes it as "bacterial SSU rRNA". It matches the Rfam family "Bacterial small subunit ribosomal RNA", at positions 376 to 796 of the family's 1533-position model. The record is from RNAcentral. RNAcentral also lists the same sequence under 1 other name.
CAAAAGUCUGAUCCAGCAAUUCUGUGUGCACGAUGACGGUCUUCGGAUUGUAAAGUGCUUUCAGUUGGGAAGAAAGAAAUGACGGUACCAACAGAAGAAGCGACGGCUAAAUACGUGCCAGCAGCCGCGGUAAUACGUAUGUCGCAAGCGUUAUCCGGAUUUAUUGGGCGUAAAGCGCGUCUAGGUGGUUUGAUAAGUCUGAUGUGAAAAUGCGGAGCUCAACUCCGUAUUGCGUUGGAAACUGCCAAACUAGAGUAUCGGAGAGGUGGGCGGAACUACAAGUGUAGAGGUGAAAUUCGUAGAUAUUUGUAGGAAUGCCGAUAGAGAAGUCAGCUCACUGGACGAAUACUGACACUGAAGCGCGAAAGCAUGGGGAGCAAACAGGAUUAGAUACCCUGGUAGUCC